UGAGGUUGAUGAGCGUGAUGCAUGACGAGUGUGGAGCUGCUGCUACAGAGCUCAGCUAGGAAGAGAAACAAAACAAAGUAGGCUUACAGAAAAUUAAGCUUCACCUUGGGACGGAUCAACCCGGAGGGGAGUGUCGGGUUUUUGCCCGAGCUGAAUUUUUUUACUUAAAUGUUUAAUUGUUAUUGUUUUUGGAGAAAAGCAGUCUGGGCUGUUGGGUUGCUGCCACGGGGAGUUUGCACGUCUGCUAGCCACAGGGGAAGUCCCGUUUGCUGUGUUUUUGGGAAAAGAGGGGGGAAAAAAAAACUACAUCUAGAAGAUGAAACUUUUGAACUAAGCGUCUGGUGGACUGAAGGGCUGGUGAACUUUUCAAAGAACCCUGAACCGACACAGAAUAAGCACCUCUGCUAAGGUUACAACCAUGAAAAGACCCUUGAGUGAAACACUGACCCAUUGGGUCCACAGCUGAACAAUUCCUCAUCCCUGAAAGAAGUGAGAUGAAUUCUGAACAGGCAGGGCUGUGGGGGUUUGUUGCUGCUAUCCAAGGUGAAAACAGCCAGAAGCCGAGGUAAUGACAUCUGAACGGAUGAAAGGUCCUGGGGGACAGAAGGAGUUUUGGAUGUUCUCCUUUAUAACAAGGUCAGCAAACUUUGAAGUCAUGCUCUGAACAGAAGCCCUGAGGCUCGUGCUUCAUUAAAGAGUUUCCACUCUGCUAAAUCAGGUAUCUGCCUGCUGAAUGGAGGAGCUAAAAGACUUUGUGAUGGAUAAAGAAAGGAAGAGCAGCAUUAUCAGCCGACGGG
Non-coding RNA from Poecilia reticulata (guppy), 797 nucleotides. The record is from RefSeq and is a predicted model, not a curated record. Lineage: Eukaryota; Metazoa; Chordata; Actinopteri; Cyprinodontiformes; Poeciliidae.